AGAGGCAGAGCCCAUGGCGCACUCCCCUCUCAGUAGUCCUAGGAGAUACCUGCAGCCUCCUACCACUUUCAAUCCACAGGUUCCCAUGGUUCCUUUACCAGGACCUUCUGAAAUGAUGCAUGUCCACAAUAAUGCUUUGGCACAUUAUGUAACAGAUUCCAGGGAUGCAUUCAGUGAGAAACUGAAUGCUGUGAUAAUAACAUGGAGUUAUGGUGGCAGGCAAAUAGCUGUCACUGGAUCAUGGGAUA
This 248-nucleotide unclassified non-coding RNA is filed under the name Hevea brasiliensis (rubber tree). Lineage: Eukaryota; Viridiplantae; Streptophyta; Magnoliopsida; Malpighiales; Euphorbiaceae. The record is from RNAcentral.